Long non-coding RNA from Cyprinus carpio carpio, 1119 nucleotides. Lineage: Eukaryota; Metazoa; Chordata; Actinopteri; Cypriniformes; Cyprinidae. The record is from Ensembl.
CCUAUUUUAAAAGGCUUUUCUUGUGAAGUAAGAGAAAUAUGGCUGGUAACCACAUCACAGGGGGUAAUUGCAGUUUGGCAGGUGUGUCAUAAUGAGCAGAGAUAGAGCUCCCAACAGGAUGCAAAUGAAUUUUGGCCCCGGGCUCUUCCAGCGCGAUGCAUUCAAGUCAAUUAAGACUCUGCCACUUUCUACAACAGGGGUCAGAUUCCCUACAGAUCAUCCCAAUAUGACAUGAAAGAUCUAAGAGAGCAGCUCGGCGUGUCAAAACUUGACGCGAGCCGGGGUGGCGAUGAAAAGGAAGAGUUGGAUGAACUUUGAUAGACAUCAGAAAUCUGGGAAACAAAAACAAGGUCUAAUUCUGCCAAGAAAGAGGAAGGAUAAAAAAGGAAGGCCGUUUCUUUUGGAGAUUAUGCAAGCGUGUUUGGAUGGGAAGGAGUUCAGAUAAUAAUGAAACAAUUAAAGGCUUUAAGGGCUUGACUGGACUGAUUACGCGGUCACCACACCCCGAACCCUUUCCUUCACAUGAUGCCUCGGGCUACAACGCCACACCCCACGAAAGUGCUCCCCCUCCUGAGUGGGACGGUCUCUGUGCAGGUGGGACAGCGGAACCACAGGACCCAAAUUAUAAUUAUGCUCUUUGAGCACAUCCAGACCUUACCGUAGUAAAAGCCUUUCUCACAGGGGCCUGCGAGAUCCGGAUCUGUCCUGCAAUGAAGAACUGUAUGUGUGUUGGAACAUACUGACUCAAUGAAUCACCAGUCAGCUUUAUUUACAAGAAACUGUCAUGCUUUUGAAAAUGAAACAAUAACUUUAGAUACCAGCUUAUUAUAUCCUUUCAUGCUGCGUAACAAUUUUCCAGCUUUCCAUAGUUGAACGAACUUGUGUUCAUUCUUUAAACAACGUAAACAUUCAUCUAAAGCCACAGAGCACAUUUUAUUAUCACAUGUGACAAUGUUGCAUGUAAAUACAUUUGUGUCACCCUGGAGCAUAAAAGCAGUCUUUAGUCGCAGGGGUAUAUUUGCAGCAAUAGCCAAAAACCAAUACAUUUCAAAAUUAUCAAAAUUAUCCAUUUUUCUUUUAAGCCAAAAAUCAUUAGGAAAUUAAGUCAAGAUCAUGUUC